RNAcentral lists this ribosomal RNA (377 nucleotides) under uncultured eukaryote. RNAcentral's name for it is "partial 18S ribosomal RNA". It matches the Rfam family "Eukaryotic small subunit ribosomal RNA", at positions 592 to 976 of the family's 1831-position model. The record is from RNAcentral.
CAAUAGCGUAUAUUAAAGUUGUUGCAGUUAAAAAGCUCGUAGUUGGAUUUCUGGGCUCAGUCUUUGGUCCGUCGAAAGAUGUGCACUGACGACUGGGUCCUUUCCUCUCGACGUUCACGGGUGCUCUUAACUGAGUGUUCGUGGGACUCGGGACCUUUACUUUGAAAAAAUUAGAGUGUUCAAAGCAGGCCUUCGCUUGAAUACAUUAGCAUGGAAUAAUGGAAUAGGACUUGGGUUCUAUUUCGUUGGUUUUAGGACCGAAGUAAUGAUUAAUAGGGACAGUUGGGGGCAUUAGUAUUUAAUUGUCAGAGGUGAAAUUCUUAGAUUUAUGAAAGACUAACUACUGCGAAAGCAUUUGCCAAGGAUGUUUUCAUUAA